This 253-nucleotide ribosomal RNA is filed under the name uncultured bacterium. RNAcentral's name for it is "partial 16S ribosomal RNA". It matches the Rfam family "Bacterial small subunit ribosomal RNA", at positions 524 to 776 of the family's 1533-position model. The record is from RNAcentral.
UACGGACUGUGCAAACGUUAUUCGGUGUCACUGGGCUUAAAGAGUUCGUAGGCGGUUCGGUAGGUAAGGUGUGAAAGCUCUCGGCUCAACCGAGGAAUUGCGCUUUAAACCGCUGGACUUGAGGAAGAUAGAGGUGAGCGGAACUCACGGUGGAGCGGUGAAAUGCGUUGAUAUCGUGAGGAACACCGGUGGCGAAAGCGGCUCACUGGGUCUUUUCUGACGCUGAGGAACGAAAGCUAGGGGAGCAAACGGG